This 1026-nucleotide unclassified non-coding RNA is filed under the name Hevea brasiliensis (rubber tree). The record is from RNAcentral. Lineage: Eukaryota; Viridiplantae; Streptophyta; Magnoliopsida; Malpighiales; Euphorbiaceae.
UUUUGAUUCUUUAAACUUUAGACUUCAGGUCCUAAGAUCCAAUUAAUCUUUUCUGUUUUAUCUUAUUGAUUUCCCUGCAGAAUUUUAUUAAGUUACCAUUUUCUUCUCGUUAGAACUCUUAUAUCACCAUAAAAGAAUUCUACUCGGUCCUUUGAUUUUCUUUUCUUAAAGUAGAGACAACCAAAAAUAGAUAAAAGAACACAAACUUCUAGUCGAUUGAGUCUAUCUAGCUUCAACCAUUUGGCAAUUGGCAUGGCUGACCAGAGGCUUUGUUUCUGCAAAAAGAUAUGAUAUAGCUGUUCAAAAUUUUACUUCCUGUUGUUUAUUUUCCCUUAAAUUGAUUGGCAACUUUGGCAAGAUUUGGGUGUAUUGUUCUUGGCAUCUAUUGGCUGGAUGUUCAGUCAGAGUGCUCGUUUCUGAUUUGGCAUUAUAGAUGUUUUGGUGGAUUUACAAGAUUUAUGAUAUUUAAUUGUCAAUUGUGUAGGGGCAGACCCAAAAUAUAGCAGCAAAGGUGGAUAUGAUCCAAGUGGAUCUAGCAGCAAGGUCUCGUCUGUCACGGUGCCUUCAACUCCUCGGACAGAGGGUGAGAUCUUACAGUCUUCCAAUUUGAAGAACUUUAGUUUUGGUGAACUGAGGGCAGCCACUAGGAACUUCCGUCCGGAUAGUGUGCUGGGUGAAGGAGGAUUUGGUUGUGUUUACAAAGGAUGGAUUGAUGAGCAUUCUCUAACACCUGUCAGGCCUCGAACCGGCAUGGCCAUUGCUGUGAGGAGGCUUAACCAAGAGGGCGUCUGGGGUCAUCAGGAAUGGCUGACGGAAAUCUUCUUUCUCGAGCAGCUUCAUCAUCCAAAUAUUGUGAAAUUGAUUGGAUACUGCUUAGAAGAUGACCAUCGGCUUCUGGUUUAUGAGUUCAUGCCAAGGGGCAGCUUGGAGAAUCACCUCUUUAGAAGAUCUAAUGUUCAACCGCUCUCUUGGAACCUCCGAAUUAAGAUUUCCCUUGAUGCUGCUAGGGGUCUAUCAUUUCUUCAU